Molecule: microRNA, 22 nt
Filed under: Heligmosomoides polygyrus
Lineage: Eukaryota; Metazoa; Nematoda; Chromadorea; Rhabditida; Heligmosomidae
Description: hpo-miR-10091-3p
Source: miRBase by way of RNAcentral
UACCCGUAGACUUUCUGUCGGA